This 253-nucleotide ribosomal RNA is filed under the name uncultured bacterium. Its description in RNAcentral is "partial 16S ribosomal RNA". It matches the Rfam family "Bacterial small subunit ribosomal RNA", at positions 524 to 776 of the family's 1533-position model. The record is from RNAcentral.
UACAGAGGUCCCAAGCGUUGUUCGGAUUCACUGGGCGUAAAGGGUGCGUAGGCGGUCGGGUAAGUCUGAUGUGAAAUCUCACAGCUUAACUGUGAAACUGCAUUGGAUACUAUCCGGCUCGAGGAAUGGAGGGGAGACUGGAAUACUUGGUGUAGCAGUGAAAUGCGUAGAGAUGUGGAGGAACACCGAUGGCGAAGGCAGCCUCCUGGGCCAGCACUGACGCUCAUGCACGAAAGCGUGGGGAGCAAACAGG